GACGAACGCUGGCGGCGUGCCUAAUACAUGCAAGUAGAACGCUGAAGGAGGAGCUUGCUUCUCUGGAUGAGUUGCGAACGGGUGAGUAACGCGUAGGUAACCUGCCUGGUAGCGGGGGAUAACUAUUGGAAACGAUAGCUAAUACCGCAUAAGAGUAGAUGUUGCAUGACAUUUGCUCAAAAGGUGCAAUUGCAUCACUACCAGAUGGACCUGCGUUGUAUUAGCUAGUUGGUGGGGUAACGGCUUACCAAGGCGACGAUACAUAGCCGACCUGAGAGGGUGAUCGGCCACACUGGGACUGAGACACGGCCCAGACUCCUACGGGAGGCAGCAGUAGGGAAUCUUCGGCAAUGGACGGAAGUCUGACCGAGCAACGCCGCGUGAGUGAAGAAGGUUUUCGGAUCGUAAAGCUCUGUUGUAAGAGAAGAACGAGUGUGAGAGUGGAAAGUUCACACUGUGACGGUAUCUUACCAGAAAGGGACGGCUAACUACGU
Molecule: ribosomal RNA, 494 nt
Filed under: uncultured bacterium
Lineage: Bacteria
Description: partial 16S ribosomal RNA
Rfam family: Bacterial small subunit ribosomal RNA
Source: RNAcentral